This 750-nucleotide long non-coding RNA is filed under the name Mytilus galloprovincialis (Mediterranean mussel). The record is from RNAcentral. Lineage: Eukaryota; Metazoa; Mollusca; Bivalvia; Mytilida; Mytilidae.
AUGAUGGUCAGAGAAAUGAAGGUACCAUAAAAUAUGGGUAUACCUGUCCCUAAUCAUUGUACAAGAAAAUAUUGAGGUGACCAUUAUUGGAUCUGUUAACCAAUACAACUUAGUAAAUGGUAUGCAAGACCAAGAAAUGCUUUCAUUUCUGAUUUGUAGCUCCAAGGCAUUUUGUUGUCAUUUGGCCUUUGCCUUUUGUAGUGAAUAUGAAAAUAGGGAGAUGAGGUAUGAUUGCCAAUAAGACCACUAUCCACCAAAGUUCAAAUACAGUGGAUGUAAGCAAUUAUAGGCAACCAUAUGGCCUUCAUCAAUGAGAAAAUCCCAUAAUGUAAAGUCAGCUAUAAAAGGCCCACCAGACAUGAGAAAUAUUAAACAAUUCGACUGAGAAAACUAACUGCCUAUAUAUAUAGCUACAUGUACUUGAUUACAAAACAAUUAAUCUAAAAUGAAAAUGACAGACAUGAACCAACAACAACCAGUGAACUACAUGCUCCUGACUUGGGACAGGCACAUAAUGAGUGUGGCAGGGUUAAACGUGUUUGUGAGCGCUCAACCUUUCCCCCUUAUCUGGGAUAGUGACAUAACAGCACCUUUAAAAAUCAGUGGAAAGCUUAAAGUUAUCAGUUUUGUUGAUUUAAGAAUGCAUUCAAGAAAAGGAUUGUCCAUAUAAAGUUGCCCUAAAUCUGACACCUCCUUUUCAGUACCCAUGACAUGACUUAGCCCAGUAUUCCCACAAGGGGCAAAUAUAUG